Macrobrachium nipponense is the source of this 1050-nucleotide long non-coding RNA. RefSeq lists it as uncharacterized. The transcript has 2 exons. The record is from RefSeq and is a predicted model, not a curated record. NCBI's taxonomy places the organism in Eukaryota, Metazoa, Arthropoda, Malacostraca, Decapoda, Palaemonidae.
CCUUACAUUAUGUAAUGAAGAGGAUUGCUGAUUAUACAAUCGGUAGGGAGUCUAAACACUUCAGAAUGGAAACUUGCUAACUGAGUUUUAUGGCCAUUUUUGCCAUUGGUGAGACAUGGCUUUUGGUCGACUGUUUGACUGGACUGAUAUAUCUCCUGCUAGUGUUUUUAUCUGCGUUGAUUUUAAUCUAAGGAUGGAUGAUCCAACCAGUGAAGGUGUCAGUGUUUAAUGAUAUGGAAAAUCAAACGAUGAUGUACUGGAUCAUCAAUGCUGCUCAGAAGAAACAAACUGCUUGUCUAUGCAGUGCGGGUGUAUUACAAAUGUUUGUAGAAAAGUGGUGUCUGUAGAUAUUUAGGUGAGCAUACCAUGAAAAGCCUUCCCAUUUCCCUUAGUGUUUUUGUCUUUUUUUAGUAGGAUGCCUCUAAUGGGCAAGUAGACAUAAUCUUUGAGAAAUAAUUAUCUAUUUUAAGGGAACAGAUUCUAAGAUAUAACAUAUAAUGAACCUUAGGAAAGAAAAUAUUGAUAAUUUAUGUGAAUAUGAUUUCCUGAAGUUAAUAGGAUUCCCUUUUGUUUAGUUCUUGUUAACUACAAGUCUCUCUCAAUAUUACACGAGAAAUAGUGAAUGUUUGGAACCUAGAUUAAGAGCAUAAUGACAUUCCUUUCAAAAAAAAAAACUACCAUAAACAGUUUUCCCAACCAUUUGUAAUUCUUUUGUUCCGAUAGUAGUUCCUUGUUAUUAUAAGUUUUGGUGAAGUAGUGUAUGGGAGUCUGCUGGUCUGGAAUUAAAAGUGCAGAGAUUAUAUUAUUAACAUUUGACUGUCAUUUUUGACAACGUGAAUGUGUUAGCGUUAUGAAACUUGGAUUAAAAUUGUAUAUUAGAAAAUCUGUCGAAACCUAGAUAAUCCUCCUAUUUCGCUUUGUUUCAAAUAAGGGAGGCGACGGAUAACGGUGACAAGUGUUUUAUUAUUUUCGAAAUUACCACCAUUCUAAAUUGUCAUACUGUUAUAAAUUUCAUUCUGUUUGUCCGAAAGUAUUAAACUAAAGAAAAUC